RNAcentral lists this ribosomal RNA (307 nucleotides) under uncultured bacterium. Its description in RNAcentral is "bacterial SSU rRNA". It matches the Rfam family "Bacterial small subunit ribosomal RNA", at positions 28 to 334 of the family's 1533-position model. The record is from RNAcentral.
GACGAACGCUGGCGGCGUGCCUAACACAUGCAAGUCGAACGGAAGUAAGUGCUUCGGUAUUUACUUUAGUGGCGAACGGGUGAGUAACGCGUGAGGAACCUGCCUUUCAGUGGGGGACAACAGUUGGAAACAGCUGCUAAUACCGCAUAAUGCAACGAAAUCGCAUGACUUUGUUGCCAAAGAUUUAUCGCUCUGAGAUGGCCUCGCGUCUGAUUAGCUAGUUGGCGGGGUAACGGCCCACCAAGGCGACGAUCAGUAGCCGGACUGAGAGGUUGGCCGGCCACAUUGGGACUGAGACACGGCCCAG